RNAcentral lists this small RNA (96 nucleotides) under Veronia pacifica. Lineage: Bacteria; Pseudomonadati; Pseudomonadota; Gammaproteobacteria; Vibrionales; Vibrionaceae. The record is from RNAcentral.
UUAAUCAUGUUUAAAGAUUAAUUUAACCAGUUAGCGCAAGGCUCUUAGGAGCCAUUCCCCUAAGCCCGGAACAGGAAUCGUUCUGGGCUCUUUUUU